UUAUUAUCAAAACGCGUUUUCCCCCUCUCUCAUCUCUUUUCCUUCUCUGCAUUUCAACCCUCAAUCCAUCUAUUCCAGUUUUCCUUCACCGAUGUCGUUCCUGCAUUCCGCGAUCGACCUUCUCUCAGCCUCUGGCUGCGCCGCCACCUAACUGACAUCGCCGCGCCUCCGUUCGUGAAUGACCUUCUCUCAGGCUGCGCCUCCAUUCAUCGACACCAUACCUCCGCUCUGCGUUUUCACUGCGUGCCGUAAGUCUCCAUCUCGCGACCACAACUCCCAGCCGCUCCGAUCAUGGCCACUCCAACCGGCCAAUCUAGCUUCUCCUUCUCAAGGGUGAAAUUGUGUUUCUGCCUUCUUAGUGUCUGAAGCUUCUCAGCCUUAGCACCAUUCGACAACACUCAGUCAGGUAUUUACUCGCGAAAUCUGCAAGGGAGCAAGGUCCCCCACUGAGAAUUAUCGCCGGAGCUUCUUCUCGCUCUGCUUCUGUAACUUAGUUAGAAUCCUUCAAAUCCCCGAUUUCGAUUGUGGAUGACAAAGUAUGAGUCUACACGCACAGUGAGUAAUGAUCAGUUUAGAACAUUGGAGGCUGAAAAAUGCAAUCCCGCCGCUGCUAAUCACAGCCACACUGAGCCGCCGCCAUGGUCCUUCAACCCAUCUCUUCUUCCUUAAUUUUGGAACGCUAAAAAUUGAAUCCCGUUAAUUUCUCCGUUAUAACGUGCGGCAACUUACUGAGGUGUUUGAACGAGAAGAACAUUCAGGGUAUUCCAUGGGAGAGCUUGAACAUCACAAAAUAUGAUGGAAGAAUGAGCAUAGGAAGAGUCAUACACAGUUUGGAGAAGGUCAUAGCUGGAGUAUCUAUUAAUAUAGUCACCCGAACAUACAUAUGGGAGACAGAAGCUCAACAAUUCGCAGACAUAGAGAGGAGACUAGCCCACCGAUCAGGGCGCACACAUCAACCUCAAGGUCAAGGGCCAGAUUGAUGGAUGUACCAGUAUUUAAUGCUAUAAGUUUCUAAUUGACGCUACUCUGAGAUUAUGAGCCUCUAAGCAAUGAUUCAUGCUAUUCAGUCUCACUGUCAUAAUUUGUUGCAGCAAGAGAGGUUGAGGAAGGAAGCCAAUAUCUGAAGCCACUCAUGGUGCUCUACUUUGUCCACUCUAUAAUGAAAAGAAGAAGUAUUCGUGAAUGUGCCCUUUUUUUCUUCUUCUGAAGCUAUCAUCUUUAUUUAUUUGGGUUUUGAUUUUUUUGCUUUCAUAUCUUUUUAGUGUUCUAUUCUGAAGAUGUUUUAAGUGAGAUAAAGCGGAUUCGCCACAGGUUCUGGAGAGCUGUAGAGGAAGAGCCAUGCACAGGUCGAGCUUCUCUCAAGUUUUUUCCCAUAAUUUUCAUGGUGCAGCCUCGGAUUACAGCAGCUACUAUGAAGUUCACAUCCAAAAUUUACUCAUUCUAAGUGACAACGGAGAAGUUAAGGAAAAGAAUAAGAACAAGUGCUACUUCUGCAUUGUCCUCUGCACACUUGAUAUUUUAUAUUUUUUAGAACAAUGUUUAUUUUGAGUCAUUUAUGUUCUCAUUGAACUGAGGUUUUUUUUUUCUUUUCUUUGCUGUGUUGAUUAUUGAAGCAACUUACUAAGGUGUCUGAACGGGAAGAACAUUGAGGGUAUUCCAUGUGAGAGCUUGAACAUCACAAAAAUAUGAUUGAACACUGAGCAUAGGAAGAGUUAUACGCAGGUGUCUGAACGGAAAGAACAUUCAGGGUAUUCCAUGUGAGAGCUUGAAUAUCACAAAAUAUGAUUGAACACUGAGCAUAGGAAGAGCUAUACGCAGGUGAUGACUCAAGAUCAAGGUUUGGAACUAAAAGUUGUACAAGGGAUUGUUCACUCUCCUGGGUCACCUUGAUUACAUCCGCACUGUCCUCACUGGCCAGGAGAGCUUGAAGAAUGUUUGGAUCAUUGGUACCCGCCUUUCAUUGAGUGGGUUCUUUAUGUUGGGAGCACAUUGUUUGAUGGCGGAGAUGAGGAGAGGAGAAGCACUUCAGCUCAACUCGACCUUCAGAACAAGGAAGAAUCAAAGAAAGGGAUUCAGCAAUAGCUUAAUGCACUAUUACAAAAUUUUGAUCCAAACACGCGGUUCUGUUUCUCGCGGCCUCAUCGACUCAGCUGGCUGCUUUGUGUUGGUGGAAAGUAUAUGUAUCCCAUGUUUCUAUGCAGUAUAUGCAUGCAUGAGAUUGGCCUGGGAAGAUGGGUUCUGCAACUUUGCUGCCUCAGCAGACCUGAAGUAACUCUGGCAGUUGUCCUACCUCAUCAGUUUGAGGUAAUGGUGAAUUCCGGCCAUAUCAAGGGCUGCAACCGGAGCUCUUCUUCAAGAUGUCACAUGAGAUCUAUAACUAUGAAGAAGGUUGAUAGGAACUGUGGCUGCAGAUCACACCUUAAGGUCAAUUAUGUUCAGAGUUGGUGGAAGAAUGAGCAUAGGAAAUGCAUUCCAUAAGGGCAGUUGCACACCCAAAAGAAGGACACAAGAAGAUUUUAAGGCCCUUACUGAGUAAGAUAGCCACCACUAGGUUGGAGUUCUCAAAAGCACUUCCUUUUGCAGCUAUCACGUCUAUGCUUCUGAAGAUGUGACAAAGCUUUAGAUCAUAGUAUACUUUGGGGAAGUUGUCAUGCUUUACAGGUUCAGAGAUACAAAGCUUAUAUCAUAUUAUACAUUGGGAAAAUUGUCAUGCUCUACAAGAGUUCAGAGAUGAUGAUGAGAUUCUUCUGACUUAUGAGAGACUAAAAAUGCAUAUGUAGCUCACACAUAUUUCAUACAAUAAUAUAUUUUGACUAUCUUCAUGCAAUGUAUUUCAAACACAUUUAUGAAUUAUGUGAAUAGUUUAUUUUGAUCUA
Molecule: long non-coding RNA, 2876 nt
Organism: Lotus japonicus
Lineage: Eukaryota; Viridiplantae; Streptophyta; Magnoliopsida; Fabales; Fabaceae
Exons: 13
Source: RefSeq, a predicted model, not a curated record